UACGGAGGGAGCUAGCGUUGUUCGGAAUUACUGGGCGUAAAGCGCACGUAGGCGGCUAUUCAAGUCAGAGGUGAAAGCCCGGGGCUCAACCCCGGAACUGCCUUUGAAACUAGGUAGCUAGAAUCUUGGAGAGGUCAGUGGAAUUCCGAGUGUAGAGGUGAAAUUCGUAGAUAUUGGGAAGAACACCGGUGGCGAAGGCGGCUCACUGGCUCGUAACUGACGCUCAUGCACGACAGCGUGGGGAUCAAACAGG
RNAcentral lists this ribosomal RNA (253 nucleotides) under uncultured bacterium. RNAcentral's name for it is "partial 16S ribosomal RNA". It matches the Rfam family "Bacterial small subunit ribosomal RNA", at positions 524 to 776 of the family's 1533-position model. The record is from RNAcentral.